UACGUAGGGUGCAAGCGUUGUCCGGAAUUAUUGGGCGUAAAGAGCUCGUAGGCGGCUUGUCGCGUCGAAUGUGAAAUUUCAGGGCUCAACUCUGACAUUGCAUUCGAUACGGGCAGGCUCGAGUUCGGUAGGGGAGACUGGAAUUCCUGGUGUAGCGGUGAAAUGCGCAGAUAUCAGGAGGAACACCGGUGGCGAAGGCGGGUCUCUGGGCCGAUACUGACGCUGAGGAGCGAAAGCGUGGGGAGCGAACAGG
This 253-nucleotide ribosomal RNA is filed under the name uncultured bacterium. RNAcentral's name for it is "partial 16S ribosomal RNA". It matches the Rfam family "Bacterial small subunit ribosomal RNA", at positions 524 to 776 of the family's 1533-position model. The record is from RNAcentral.